This 446-nucleotide ribosomal RNA is filed under the name uncultured bacterium. RNAcentral describes it as "partial 16S ribosomal RNA". It matches the Rfam family "Bacterial small subunit ribosomal RNA", at positions 355 to 794 of the family's 1533-position model. The record is from RNAcentral.
UGGGGAAUUUUGGACAAUGGGCGCAAGCCUGAUCCAGCCAUGCCGCGUGCGGGAAGAAGGCCUUCGGGUUGUAAACCGCUUUUGUCAGGGAAGAAAUCUUCUGAGUUAAUACCUCGGGAGGAUGACGGUACCUGAAGAAUAAGCACCGGCUAACUACGUGCCAGCAGCCGCGGUAAUACGUAGGGUGCAAGCGUUAAUCGGAAUACUGGGCGUAAAGCGUGCGCAGGCGGUUUUGUAAGACAGAGGUGAAAUCCCCGGGCUCAACCUGGGAACUGCCUUUGUGACUGCAAGGCUUGAGUGCGGCAGAGGGGGAUGGAAUUCCGCGUGUAGCAGUGAAAUGCGUAGAUAUGCGGAGGAACACCGAUGGCGAAGGCAAUCCCCUGGGCCUGCACUGACGCUCAUGCACGAAAGCGUGGGGAGCAAACAGGAUUAGAUACCCUGGUAGU